Molecule: ribosomal RNA, 492 nt
Filed under: uncultured bacterium
Lineage: Bacteria
Description: partial 16S ribosomal RNA
Rfam family: Bacterial small subunit ribosomal RNA
Source: RNAcentral
AGUGAACGCUGGCGGUAGGCCUAACACAUGCAAGUCGAACGGCAGCACAGUAAGAGCUUGCUCUUACGGGUGGCGAGUGGCGGACGGGUGAGGAAUACAUCGGAAUCUACUUUUUCGUGGGGGAUAACGUAGGGAAACUUACGCUAAUACCGCAUACGGCCUACGGGUGAAAGCAGGGGAUCUUCGGACCUUGCGCGAUUGAAUGAGCCGAUGUCGGAUUAGCUAGUUGGCGGGGUAAAGGCCCACCAAGGCGACGAUCCGUAGCUGGUCUGAGAGGAUGAUCAGCCACACUGGAACUGAGACACGGUCCUGACUCCUACGGGAGGCAGCAGUGGGGAAUAUUGGACAAUGGGCGCAAGCCUGAUCCAGCCAUACCGCGUGGGUGAAGAAGGCCUUCGGGUUGCAAAGCCCUUUUGUUGGGAAAGAAAAGCAGCAGGUUAAUACCCCGCUGUUCUGACGGUACCCAAAGAAUAAGCACCGGCUAACUUCGUG